Molecule: non-coding RNA, 4845 nt
Organism: Peromyscus maniculatus bairdii (prairie deer mouse)
Lineage: Eukaryota; Metazoa; Chordata; Mammalia; Rodentia; Cricetidae
Source: RefSeq, a predicted model, not a curated record
CCCCGCCGUCACUUCCUGGGAGUAAAGGUGUGUGUGCUUCCCAGUACUGGGGUUAAAGGCGUGUGCCACCACUGCCUGGCUCUGUUUCCAGUGUGGCCUUGAACUCAAGUGGUGGGAUUAAGGAUGUAUGCCACUACUGUCUGCCCUCUAUGUCUAAUCUAGUGGCUGGCUCUGUCCUUUUAUCCUUAAGGCAAGUUUUAUUAGGGUACACUAUAUCACCACAGGUGAGCAGAGUAGAACAGUGCUUUCAAUACCACAGGAAGGGUUCGUGGGUGACAUUGGAGACAGUUACUGCUGAGACUCAUCUAACUCUCACAACACUCCUGUGAAGUGCUAUCAUUUCCCAGUGCAGUAGAGGAAACGGAGAAUUGCAGAUUCCUGUGGGGAGCCAGCACAGCUGCCCUCAGGCCAUGCUAGCCCUUCACUGUCCCUAAGAGUCUUAACUGUCUCCUGGGUGACAGAAACAUUUACUGAUAAUUCAAUUUCUUUGGUCAAAAAGGAUUGGGAGUAACCUUCAUUCAACCUUAAUCAAAUUAUUGAUAAUGUGGCCACAGAAGGACAGCUUUCCACUGCUGUGUGGAGAGUCUUCUAUCCACUCUGAAGGGUCAGCCAAACAGAGGUGCCGCAGAGAUGGACACAACCAGGCUGGAAGCAGGAAGUCAGAGAAGGGGUGGUGCUUCCUUCCACCCAAGGAUCUCCACAGCACCCCCUCCUUUCCUAGGAGCCCAGACAUGAGAAAUGAAGUCUAGUUAAAUCCUGAAUAGUUCAGGGCACAAAGUCAGUGGCCAGAGACCAAUGUGUUUUUAAGAUACAGUACAUGGAUAGGUGAAUGUAAAAUGCCUCAGAUAAACAUAGGUUACACAACCUAAAUUUUUGUUCUGUCUGUUUUUAAAUUUGCUUUUGGAGGAAACCAUCAAGAGUAGUACAUGUCAGAAAGUACUUCUGUGCUGGACUUAGUGGCACAGGCCUGUAAUGCCAACUACUCCUGAAACUGAAGCGGGAAGAUCCUAACCUGUCUGGUCUCCCACAGACAGGUGGACUUCGAAGAAAAAAGCAGAGUGGAGCAAAAACAAUAUCAAUUAUCCCGAUAAUUGUCAUGAGCCAAGGAAAGCCGAUUGCCUUUGCGAUGGCACCACCAGCAGAGGGACCUUUGGGGAAACAGAAAAUCAGCACUUUCUCCAAGUGUCUUAUUGUGAGAAAAUGUAAAGAUUUCUGUAUUUGUAGGAGGUUUUAUCUCUCCUGCAUUGAGGUAAAGGUUGUCUUACCAAUAGCAUACCCCAUACAAAAGGCCACAUCCGCAAUGGCAUAUACACUUCCAUAAACAGACACGUGCCGUAGGUCAACCAGGUAACCCAUGAUAGGCAUCAUGGAGGAAUCCACCAUCCCUGUAGAUAGUCAAGGAACAGUGUAUGGAAAAGUGGUAUGAAACAGAAGCAGGUUGAAUGUUGGAGACUGUGUCCUAAACUCAGUCCAUUGCCAGCUCUUCCCCUCUGCCAUUGCCACUUGCUCAUCUGUAACAGACCCCUGACAACAGACCUUUCAUUGUGGAUAGUAAGCAGUAGGGUUCAGAAAAGAGUGGAACUCAGGAUUCUGAGUCCUUAUUAGGUAAGCAUUUGUAGGCUGUCUGACCUCACCUUAUAAUCUCUUGUAAUGGGCCAUCUUUUGGGUAAGGGGAAGGUACCCAGUCCUCUGGCCACUCACCUAUUACUGUUCUCCAAGUGUAGGGUAUUACAGGCCACUGGAACCUGGCCUAUAGCUGAUGCCUCCCUGAUCCACUAUUUUUCCAAUCACUUUUCCCUUGCCAGUUAGCACACAUACAUAAUCAGUCAACCUCUUCCCCACUUUCCACCCACCUCCAACACCAGGCCUUAGACCAUGAGAGUUACCAAGCUGGAAAGUACUGAAAUACUAGUACUCAGUGGAGGGUGAGAGAGCAUCUCUUCCUGCUCACAAAACUAAAACCUGAAGAGCUUGGCUCCUUAGUUGGCUAAAACAACAAUUGAGACCAGCAUGACAAGCUGUGGCUUCUUGACUAGCAAAGGACAAGGCUUGGAAAGAUCACGUGUGUUCAGAGUUCCAGGUGCAAAUCCUAGCUUUGAGCAUGGUCAUACCUAGCUUCAGAACACUGCUUCCCCCUGUCUAAAUGGGGUGCUUUGAAAGUGGUUUUGGUGACUUGAGUGUAGUGAACUGAUGCCUGUGAACACAUGCUGAGGGGCUGGCGCACAGCAGCCGGUGGAUGAGAGAAAUAGUUUUCAUUUGUUUAGUAUUUGUGAUCAUCUGAUGUGCACAGCCUGCUGCAGAGAGAGUGGAGCAAAACCUGAGAGGUGGAUAUUAAGCACAGAGCUAAAGAAUGAAUUACAGCGGGACUGGUGUGGAGGUCCCCCAGGAGGCAUAAGAUGCCAGGGCUGCCCAACCUCCUGUAGAGGGUCAGAAGAUAUCCCGUUCAUUCUUUCUGCUAUACCACUCCAAGACCAAAUUCCUGACACUACUGCGUAACAGAUUUGGCCUUUACUUUCAUCAUGUUAAUCAGUAUUUUAUAAGUGAGAAACAAAAGCAUACCAUUAGUCCAGACUUUCCCUAAUGUUUUAUUUUCCUUUGCCUCUGAAAAUCCCUGCGGUGCACAGCAUGGUACCUCACCAGCCUGUAUUUUCUUUACCAAGCCUCAUAAGAAAAGCACAUGGGAAGUCUGUCCCUAGUCGCAUUUGGGAAGGUUGCUCUUAGAUGUGAACUAAAUUGAAUGUGCUACAGAUAAGGAAGCGUUAGUUUGCUGGAGUACGGCAGUGAAGCACCAGUCUGCUUCUGCCAACACCACCUGACUUUCAACAAGCAUCUUCGUGGAUCUAGACUAUGGGUUGUCCCUGAGCUAAUCUCAUUGCGCCCUCCACUUCAGCUUCGGGAAAUCUGAGCUUUGGUACCUAUCUAUAGGCUGUACACUCCUCAAGAAGAGAAUCUCCGCUAGAGAGACUGCAGCUCCAAAUUGAGGCACACGGCCCAUGUGACUUACCAAUUGCAAAACCAACUCCAAAGUUGGGAGCGAUGAGUCCAUAGAUAUUUUUUGCAAAAGGAAUCUGUAAGAGGAAGUUAAUAUGCUAAAAUAAAAGAUAUUGACUCUAAUAAAUCAUCUUCAAAAGAAAGCCUAAAAAUAUCUUUUAUCUGGGCCUAAUGGACCUGUUCCCUUUUGAAAGAAAUGAGAGCAGAGAAAGAAAGGGGGUUGCCAUCCUAAUCUUUAAAAUCCAAAGCCCAGAUUGAGGGUGUAGUUUAGUGGUAAAGUGUUUGCCUACCAUGCAUGACACCCUGGGUUCAAUCUCCAGUGCAACCAAUCAAUAGAUGUAUGUCAAAGCCUGAAAUGUAAAUUCUGACUACUGUGAAAACUUAAUUACAUGGCUCCUUAGAAAGAUGGCUUCAUCCACUCUCUUGACAAAGAGAAGAUGACCAUAUUUGGGGAGAUAUUGGCCACUAAAAUAUGUUUAUUCUAGAGUAACAUCUUGCUAUUGUUCAGAGAGUAGCUGCCAUAAAGUAUUUGAGACACUUGUCAUGUUUAGUGGUUCAUGCCUGUAACCUCGCAUUUGCAAGAGUGAGGCAAAGAGGAUUGUCGUCAGUUCUAGGCUGGCCUGGGUUACAUAAUGAGACCUUAAGAAAACUACAAAAAAAAUCACAAAAUUAAAAAAAAAAUAGAAAAAUAACUUGGUAAACUACAUAAUAAAUUUGCUUAAAUAACAUCUGAUCUAAAGUUAAAUGAUAUGCCCACUUGAGUCUUUCCAGAAAUGUUUGAAGUGACUUUUAAAAAUUGAAAAAAAUAAAUGAAAAACAUAAUAAAACCAAAUAUUAGCAAACUCAAACUGUUAUAAAAUGUUGCCUGGUGAGUCUCACCCAAAACAAGAGUUUCAGUCCCAUAUGUUCCCACUCCCCCAACUGCCUGUCAAAUUCAAUCUUUCACUCACACAUAAAAUGCUGAUUCCAACAAUUAUCAUUCCCAGAAGAGCACAAAGCCACCUAUCAAAAGAAAAAGCACAUCAAUAAAUGAACACUUAGGGUGUUUUUCCUAAGACACAUCUUCAGUGAAAAUCAUAGCAGUUAUUUGUAAUAGCUAAGACAGAAACACUGAAUUUCUUCAAAGAACCACAUUAUAUCAAAACAAUAGAAUGAAUGCUUUCAUUUAAUCUUACCUUCCCAUUUUGUGUGCCAGUAUCCCAAAAAUAUUGGUUCCAAUGAGAUAAGAGAUACUUGCUGGCAAGAAAACAAUGCCUGUGGAUUUAUGAAAAGGAUACCUUAUCAGCUCUUCUACAAGUCACAUGUCAGAAAAACUAAUAAUCACAGACACUGAAGCGAUGGUUCGAGAAGAUGAGAUGAAGUCUGGGGCCUGCACCCAUGCAGCUAAUAUCCGGUUUCAGUCUGGACCCCACAUGGCUUAUCCAUUCCAGAAAGCUGCCGAGACACUUCAGAAAUGGAAACCAUUUCUCUAUCAGUGGCUACAUCUCACUUCUGAGUCUGGUGACAGCAUUACUUGUGGACCGACAGAGACAAUCCCCAGCGGUGGGAGUCCAGUAAUGGCCACCCAUGUGGUCUGGGCAUUUGCAUAUGUGUUCUCACCUCUGAAAUUCUUACAAAAGGCACAGCCAUUGAAGAAUUCGGGCAACUAGGAACAAGUGAAAAGGAAGCAGUGGACACCAGCCAAAGCCCACAGUUAUUUUCCCUUGUAACUUUACACACAUGUCUGUGUGCACACAAGGCUUUGUCACACAAAGAGGACUAUGUAACAUCUACUGCUCCAUGCCCUGUUUUUCUCAAUUAACUGUGAACAUCUUCCUAUCUUAAAAAAAUAAAAUAAAAACUAAAAACAAAAAA